Molecule: ribosomal RNA, 989 nt
Filed under: Heterotilapia buettikoferi
Lineage: Eukaryota; Metazoa; Chordata; Actinopteri; Cichliformes; Cichlidae
Description: partial 16S ribosomal RNA
Rfam family: Bacterial large subunit ribosomal RNA (bases 188-989)
Source: RNAcentral
CGCCCAACAGCUAGCCCACUCAUCAACCCCAAAUUUACCCUAUUAAUAUCCCCAAACACACCACUAUCCAACAACAAACCAUUUUCCCACCUAAGUACGGGCGACGAAAAAGGAUUAUAGGAGCAACAGAGAAAGUACCGCAAGGGAAAGCUGAAAGAGCAAUGAAACAACCCAGUAAAGCACUAAAAAGCAGAGAGCCCCCCUCGUACCUUUUGCAUCAUGAUUUAGCCAGUAAACUUUAAGCAAAAAGCAUUAUAGUUUAACACCCCGAAACUAAGCGAGCUACUCCAAGGCAGUCUAAUUUGUAGGACCCCCCCCGUCUCUGUGGCAAAAGAGUGGGACGAACUUUGAGUAGAGGUGAUAAACCUACCGAGCCUAGUUAUAGCUGGUUGCCUGAAAACUGAAUAGAAGUUCAGCCCUUUAAAUUCUCCCCCCCCCCUUGGCUUAAGACCUUAACACCGGACAAACAGAAGUUAAAGGAGUUAGUCAAAGGGGGGACAGCCCCUUUGAAACAAGACACAACUUUCCAAGGAGGAUAAAGAUCACAACAAACUCUAAAGGUUAAAUGUUUUAGUGGGCCUAAAAGCAGCCAUCUACUCAGAAAGCGUUAAAGCUCGAACAUACGCAACCAGCCUUCCAAUACAGACAACACAAUCUCACCCCCCUAAACCUAUCAGGCCGUUCCAUAAAAAUUAUGGAAGCGCUUAUGCUAAAAUGAGUAAUAAAAAAACCCCCUUCUCUCCCCGCACAAGUGUAAAUCGGAACGAACCAUUCCCCGACCAUUAACGGCCCCAAAACAAAGAGGGCACUAGACAAAAAAUAAACAACUAGAAAACCACCUAUCCCCCCCCCGUUAACCCCACACUGGUGUGCCAGCCGGGAAAGACUAAAAGAAAAAGAAGGAACUCGGCAAACACAAGCCUCGCCUGUUUACCAAAAACAUCGCCUCUUGAAGCCCAAAAUAUAAGAGGUCCCGCCUGCCCUGUGAC